CCUAUGGGGCCCAGCAGGCGCGAAAACUUUACAAUGUGGGAAACCGUGAUAAGGGAACACCGAGUGCCAGCAUCAUAUGCUGGCUGUCCAGAUGUGUAAAGUACAUCUGUUAGCAAGGGCCGGGCAAGACCGGUGCCAGCCGCCGCGGUAAAAU
This 154-nucleotide ribosomal RNA is filed under the name uncultured archaeon. RNAcentral's name for it is "partial 16S ribosomal RNA". It matches the Rfam family "Archaeal small subunit ribosomal RNA", at positions 322 to 476 of the family's 1478-position model. The record is from RNAcentral.